Molecule: long non-coding RNA, 1593 nt
Filed under: Homo sapiens (human)
Lineage: Eukaryota; Metazoa; Chordata; Mammalia; Primates; Hominidae
Description: HSALNT0045100
Source: RNAcentral
GCUCUUUGACCGCGCGCGUGUGGGCGCUGACCUUGCGGGACUUCUCCAGCAGCUUGCUCACCGUGUUGCUGGUGGAGGCCUGGUACUUGGAGAGCUUGGUGAGGUCAUUCUGGAUGCCCUUCACGGAGCCCUCCAAACUGAUCUGUCGCUGCUCCAUCUUGUGCUGGUUCUCCUGCACAGCGUCUAGCAUGUUCACCAGCUUGUCCAGGAGCGUGAGCACCGUGACUGCGUUCACCUCUCCAGUGCCUGGGACAAUGCCUGACACUUAGCAGACAGUCAGUGAAUGUGUUAUAUAAAUGAAUGAAUACUUGGAGCGUGAGAAUCAGAGCGGCAAAAAUAUUUGUCCAUAAUAUGCCUAAAGAUAAAAACGGAAGCCUCAGAACUAGAUAAGUGCAUUGUAAUUGAAUGCUGAAUUCACAGAGAUAACAUCUGAGAUUUAUUAAGCAUCAAGUCAUGUCUUAAAAAUUUUAUAUACAUUUUAGGAUUUAACUCUUAUAAAAAUCCUGUGGGUAAGUACUGUUGUCUCUCCCACUUUACAGGUAGAGAGGCUGAGGUUCAGAGAGAUUAGGUAACUCAACUAAGGUCAAAAAGUUGGUCAGGGAGCUGGGCCUUUAUAUAAAACACCAAAAUGAGCCCUUGUGUAGAACCCUUGAGAGAGAUUUUAAUCUAAUGGCUGCAAUUUUAAAUUGUGUUCAGUUGUGGUAUGUAGUUUUUCAAGGAAGAUGACCCACAGCCUUUCUUGCUUUCUGGCUUUGGAAAAGGUAGAGAUGACCACUUAAACAUUCAAGGAAAAUAAUCCCUGACUUUGAAAUCAGAAGAUCAUUCAGAUAAUAUACUUACUUAUAAUCAUCCUCUCUAAUGUCUGACUAAAGCAAGAGUAAAAGAUUGACUGAACAGCAACAAAUACUUUAACAGUUAAAAAUAAAAUUGAUUGGUCUGUUGGAAACACAAAGCACUUUUAGCCCCAUUGGUUUUCUACCUGAAACCAGAGUGAAGUGACCUGAAGGAUCUCAUAAGAUAUAUAAGACCAGCAACUAUAGGAAAGAUGAUACUUUUCUUGAAGUCAUAUAUUGUCUAAGUUGAAGUUACAUGACUUAGAAGGUCAGAUGUGCCAUCUUUUCCCUUAAUGCCCCAGAGAUUCUCUUCACCAAGAAAAUGACUACAUACUUAUUUCAUUUAAAACAGACUCAGCCUAGUGAUGGUUUUCCUUCUUCUAUAAAAAAGCAGGCUAUUCAUGAAGAUAAGGACCCUUUUGGCUUUGCAACACGUUUUCAACAUUUUACUCAUGGACAUGAGAUGGUAAAACAAGAUGAAAAUGAUUCUUUUAUUGGGCAUUCAAUUAAAAAAUGUCAUGACUUUGCCAUUAGUUUGUAUAAAUCCUAGAAAUGAGUUUCAACGAGAGUGUGUUAUUAUGUUGGGAAAGAGACGGAAGUGUAUAACCUUGGGCAGAUCGUUUAACUUCUCUCUGCUUUACAGUUACAAGCGGUAAUACAAAGAGACAGGAUUAUAUGAUCUCCAAGGUCCCAUCCAGCCCAUUUAACACGGUAUGAUUAUUUGAGAGGCAAUUUAAUGAGGUAGUGAGAAGCCUGGGCU